This 492-nucleotide ribosomal RNA is filed under the name uncultured bacterium. RNAcentral's name for it is "partial 16S ribosomal RNA". It matches the Rfam family "Bacterial small subunit ribosomal RNA", at positions 29 to 507 of the family's 1533-position model. The record is from RNAcentral.
AGUGAACGCUGGCGGUAGGCCUAACACAUGCAAGUCGAACGGCAGCACAGUAAGAGCUUGCUCUUACGGGUGGCGAGUGGCGGACGGGUGAGGAAUACAUCGGAAUCUACUUUUUCGUGGGGGAUAACGUAGGGAAACUUACGCUAAUACCGCAUACGACCUACGGGUGAAAGCAGGGGAUCUUCUGACCUUGCGCGAUUGAAUGAGCCGAUGUCGGAUUAGCUAGUUGGCGGGGUAAAGGCCCACCAAGGCGACGAUCCGUAGCUGGUCUGAGAGGAUGAUCAGCCACACUGGAACUGAGACACGGUCCAGACUCCUACGGGAGGCAGCAGUGGGGAAUAUUGGACAAUGGGCGCAAGCCUGAUCCAGCCAUACCGCGUGGGUGAAGAAGGCCUUCGGGUUGUAAAGCCCUUUUGUUGGGAAAGAAAAGCAGCAGGUUAAUACCCCGCUGUUCUGACGGUACCCAAAGAACAAGCACCGGCUAACUUCGUG